Molecule: ribosomal RNA, 253 nt
Filed under: uncultured bacterium
Lineage: Bacteria
Description: partial 16S ribosomal RNA
Rfam family: Bacterial small subunit ribosomal RNA
Source: RNAcentral
UACGUAGGGGGCAAGCGUUAUUCGGAAUCAUUGGGCGCAAAGGGCGCGUAGGCGGCUUGGUAAGUCAAAGGUGAAAUCCCUCGGCCCAACCGAGGAACUGCCUUUGAUACUGCUUGGCUCGAGGCCGGGAGAGGGCAGCGGAAUUCCCAGUGUAGCGGUGAAAUGCGUAGAUAUUGGGAGGAACACCAGUGGCGAAGGCGGCUACCUGGACCGGUUCUGACGCUGAUGCGCGAAAGCGUGGGGAGCAAACAGG